This 235-nucleotide ribosomal RNA is filed under the name uncultured bacterium. Its description in RNAcentral is "partial 16S ribosomal RNA". It matches the Rfam family "Bacterial small subunit ribosomal RNA", at positions 99 to 334 of the family's 1533-position model. The record is from RNAcentral.
CGUACGGGUGAGUAACACGUAUCCAACCUGCCGUCUACUCUUGGACAGCCUUCUGAAAGGAAGAUUAAUACAAGAUGGCAUCAUGAGUCCACAUGUUCACAUGAUUAAAGGUAUUCCGGUAGACGAUGGGGAUGCGUUCUAUUAGAUAGUAGGCGGGGUAACGGCCCACCUAGUCUUCGAUGGAUAGGGGUUCUGAGAGGAAGGUCCCCCACAUUGGAACUGAGACACGGUCCAA